Non-coding RNA from Flavobacterium cauense R2A-7, 101 nucleotides. The record is from Rfam. Lineage: Bacteria; Pseudomonadati; Bacteroidota; Flavobacteriia; Flavobacteriales; Flavobacteriaceae.
GUUUUGUUUGCGUUAGGGAUAGGAGCGGCAUCCUUUUUAUUUGGACAUUGAGGCUCUCGAAAUGUCCAAAUAAAAAGAUACAGCGGAUAGCCCGACCCUUG